This 227-nucleotide long non-coding RNA is filed under the name Lathyrus oleraceus (garden pea). RNAcentral describes it as "Pisum sativum (pea) long non-coding RNA (PSAT_LNC012686)". Lineage: Eukaryota; Viridiplantae; Streptophyta; Magnoliopsida; Fabales; Fabaceae. The record is from RNAcentral.
UAAAAGAAGAAGUUAAGAUUUCUAGAUUUAUUGUGGAACAUAUGUGGCUAUUCAAGAAUAAAAAUAAACUUAAGAAGUUAUUCUUGAAGGAUUUAUUAGAAGAAAAAAAACAAGAAAAAAAACUCCGAGACAAUUAACCACUCAUGGGGCACAUAUCCACUUUGCCUUAAGGGUAUAAAAGUAGGAAAAAUAGGGCGUCCAAACAAAUAAAUUUUCAGAGAUUACAA